UACGUAGGUGGCAAGCGUUGUCCGGAAUUACUGGGCGUAAAGGGUGCGUAGGCGGAUAUUUAAGUAGAAAGUGAAAGGUUGGAGCUCAACUCCAACAUUGCUUCCUAUACUGGAUGUCUUGAGUUUCGGAGAGGAAGAUGGAACGACACGUGUAGCGGUGAAAUGCGUUGAUAUGUGUCGGAACACCAAUAGCGAAGGCAAUCUUCUGGACGAAUAUUGACGCUGAGGGACGAAAGUGUAGGGAGCGAACAGG
Molecule: ribosomal RNA, 253 nt
Filed under: uncultured bacterium
Lineage: Bacteria
Description: partial 16S ribosomal RNA
Rfam family: Bacterial small subunit ribosomal RNA
Source: RNAcentral